GGAAUAUUACCAUCAGAAUUAACAGAUUCUUUAACUUGGUUUAAACUGCCAUGUGGAAAUUUGGAUUGAACUACUGAAUGGAGACUUGAUAAACCCAAUUGAUUAUUGAGUGAAGCAGUGACUCAUUCUGAUUAACUGAAGGAUCUUACUAAUAACUUUGAGCUUUCAAAGAUGAACACAAUGGUAACCUGCAACAGAGGGAAAACUUAGAAAGGAUCACUAGCUUCAGUUAGGGAGUUCAAUACUAUGGUAAAGAGGCUAGAUACCUUGUACGAGAAUAAUUAUAGGAAUAACUUUACAUUUUAUACUUGAAGUGAAUAACUGUAAUUCAGGUUGCAAUCACUUACUGGAUAAAAGAAUACUCCGAAUAGGUGUUUACUGUCAUGGUAAUCUAUGAAUGUCAAUUGUAUUAGGAUUCAAAGUCGCUCCCCUCUAUAAAGUAGCUCAAACGAAAUUGCUCUAGCAUAACUUCUCAAGGUGCCCAGAAUUCUCACUCGGCACUCAGUAAUUAUGCUUGGCACCCAUGUCCCAUCUAUACCCUGUUAUCACUUACUUUUUGACAGUCUUAUAUAUUCCCAAUAAUGGCUUGCUAAAUUUCCCCAAGGUUAGAAUGAAAAGCAUGUAAAUCUUUUGUUUAGAU
RNAcentral lists this unclassified non-coding RNA (640 nucleotides) under Hevea brasiliensis (rubber tree). Lineage: Eukaryota; Viridiplantae; Streptophyta; Magnoliopsida; Malpighiales; Euphorbiaceae. The record is from RNAcentral.